CACAGGAAGUGUGUAACUGCACCUCCCACGAUGCGCACCCGGCUCGCGGUGGUCGCUGCCCCGAGGAGGUGUGGACCAAUCCUCCUGCCAAACACGUGUGCACGCGACCCCGGUCUCCGCAGCCCGACAGGUGUGGGACCCAAGAUCCCUGCUUCGUUCUCCAGUGGGCAGCACCCGUUCUUUCCACUAGCCCAGGGCCUGCGGUCCCCGCUGCCCCUUGCAGUUCCAUACAGCUCUACCUCAACCCCGGCAGCAGACCUUGCGAAACAUUCCGUCGUCAGGUGUGUGACACCUGUUUCAAUGCACUAAGUGGAGUCAUACCCAGGCAUGUGCUGGAACACUUCUGAUCGACAGACGAGCAACCUACAAUCACCGCUGCCUGGUGGAAGUUUCUAACAACACAGGCACUCACCCCAUGGAGGGAACCGGACCACUGAAUAACACCUAAAACACACUAAGACCGGGGAAGCGUACAGUUGUGCGGGCUCUGCAAAACGGAGGUAAGGCUGGACCUAAUACAUGCUACCAGGCGCCCUCCACCUUUAUCUAGCAAACACUUUCCUAUCACUUACAUUGUUAAUUUACUUAAUCCUUAGAACUCUGUGAAGUGGGUAUAGUUAACAUUGCCAUUUUAUAGAUGAGAAAACUGAGGCACAGAAAAAUCUGCCCAAGAUCACAUAGGUAGCUAUGCGAGGAACUCAGAUUCAUCCCCGGCAGUCUGGCUCUGUGCUCUUAAUUUCCUUUCUACUUAAAGCACUGAGCAGCUCCAAAAUAAUAAUAAUGGUAAUAGAUAACAUUUCAAUCAUAGCUGAUUAGCCAUAUGUGGUGCUCACAUCUUGUCCUCCCUCCACCUGUGACACAGAAACCUCAAUCCCUUCUACUCUGGUGAAGGGAGAGAAUAUGACUGAGAAGAAGACUAUGACUAACUUUCAAACAAAGGAGAAGGGAUUCCUAAGAUCUUUGUCAACACUGCUGGUCUAGGCUGAAUUUAAAAAUCUGUAAACAUUUUUGAUAAAAUAAUGUGUCCAAAACAACCACCCAGGUAAUUGCCGCAUGUUUCCAAUAUGUAAUAAUCCUGCGGAGAAAUUGGAACCCUGUGCCCAAUAUAAAAUGGUGGAAAUAUAGAAUGGUGCAGCCAACAUGGAAAACACUGGAGGUUCCUCAAAAAACUAAAAACAUAAUUACUUUCUGAUCCAGAAAUCCCACCUCUGAGUAUAUAUCCAAAAGAAUUUGAAGCAACAACUUGAAGAAACAUUUGCGUACCCAUGUUCACUGUAGCAUUAUUCACAAUAGCCUAGAAGUGGAAGAAGCCCAAAUAUCCAUGAAUGGAUGAAUGGAUAAACAAAAUGUGGCAUAUACAUACAGUAGACUAUUAUUCAGUCUUAAAAAUCCUGUCACAUGCUACAACAAAGAUAAACCUUGAGGGCAUUAUGUCAAGUGAAAUAAACCAGUCAACAAAAGGACAAACACUGUAUUCCACUUAUAUAAGGUAACUAGAGUUGUCAAAAUCAUGGAACCAGAAAGGUACUGUGGUGGUUGGUUGCCAGGGACUGAGAAGGGAAACAUGGAGCGUUGUUUUUCCACGAGUAUAAUGUUUUAGUUUUGCAAGAUGAAAAAGCUCUAGAGAUCUGUUAGGCAACAAUCACUGAACUGUACACUUAAAAAUGGUAAAAAGGAUAGAUUUUAUAUUACUUAUUUGUUACUACAGUUAACUUUUCUAAUGCAAUCCCAUCUGUUUAAAGGAUAUUUCCAUCUUGAUGAGUUUUUUAUUUUAAUUUUUUUAAGUACAGUUGAUUUAUCUAUUUAUUUUUGGUCUUUUGUCUUUUUAGGGCCACACCCUUGGCAUGUGGAGGUUUCCAGGCUAGGGGUCUAAUCGGAGCUGUAGCCGCUGACCUACAGCACAGCUCACAGCAAUGCCCGAUCCUUAACCCACUGAGUGAGGCCAGAGAUCGAAUCUGCAACCUCAUG
Molecule: long non-coding RNA, 1968 nt
Filed under: Sus scrofa (pig)
Lineage: Eukaryota; Metazoa; Chordata; Mammalia; Artiodactyla; Suidae
Description: lncRNA (ENSSSCG00015022460.1)
Source: RNAcentral